GACGAACGCUGGCGGCGCGCUUAAUACAUGCAAGUCGAGCGAGAACCAGGGCUUCGGCCCUGGGGACAGCGGCGAACGGGUGAGUAACACGUGGAUAACCUACCCUCGGCACCGGAAUAGCCCGGGGAAACUCGGAUUAAUGCCGGAUAGCCCCACAUCCUCUCGAGGAACGUGGGAAAGGUAGCUUCGGCCUCUGGCCGGGGAGUGGUCCGGCGGUGGAUUA
Molecule: ribosomal RNA, 223 nt
Filed under: uncultured bacterium
Lineage: Bacteria
Description: partial 16S ribosomal RNA
Rfam family: Bacterial small subunit ribosomal RNA
Source: RNAcentral